Molecule: long non-coding RNA, 8274 nt
Filed under: Oryza sativa (Asian cultivated rice)
Lineage: Eukaryota; Viridiplantae; Streptophyta; Magnoliopsida; Poales; Poaceae
Description: long non-coding RNA (OSAT_LNC001013)
Source: RNAcentral
CCCACCACCAGCUUGUCACAACUCACAGCCAAAACCUCGUACAUUUUCAGCUAGCCACAAGCAACACAAGUCCAAGACAAGUCAAGCGUUCGCACCAAGUCAAACCGCGCCUCACUGCCACCUUCGUUUGCGCACCAUGGAGCUUGCCCUGGUUGGCAACCCUUCGAAUGGCGUGGCGAAGCCGUCGUGCAACUCCGUCGGCUCGCUGCCCGUCGUCAGCUCCAACGCCGUCAUCAACCCGCCGGUGACCAGCGCGGCGGGCGCCACGCUCGGCAGGCACCUCGCGAGGCGCCUCGUGCAGAUCGGCGCCACCGACGUGUUCGCCGUCCCCGGGGACUUCAACCUCACCCUGCUCGACUACCUCAUCGCCGAGCCCGGGCUCAAGCUCAUCGGCUGCUGCAAUGAGCUCAACGCCGGGUACGCGGCCGACGGCUACGCCCGCGCCCGCGGCGUCGGCGCCUGCGCCGUCACGUUCACCGUCGGUGGCCUCAGCGUGCUCAACGCUAUCGCCGGCGCCUACAGCGAGAACCUCCCCGUGAUCUGCAUCGUCGGCGGGCCCAACUCCAACGACUACGGCACCAACCGCAUCCUGCACCACACCAUCGGCCUCCCGGACUUCUCACAGGAGCUCCGCUGCUUCCAGACCAUCACCUGCUACCAGGUCCGCGCAAUGAGCCCUGCCUCUCGUCUUUCUUUUGCACUGGAUGUCUGGAUGAAUUUCGUCGAACACCUGAGCUGAACAGAGUGCGUUGCACGCAUGCAGGCCGUCAUUAACAACCUCGACGACGCGCACGAGCAGAUCGACACCGCCAUCGCGACGGCGCUAAGGGAGAGCAAGCCCGUCUACAUCAGCGUGGGCUGCAACCUGGCAGGCCUCUCCCACCCAACGUUCAGUCGCGAGCCAGUGCCACUAUUCAUCUCGCCAAGGUAGUGAACUAAACAUACAUGAUACAUGCACGCAUCUCGGGUUAAAAUCUUCUUUUCUCCAUAGUUUCUCAAUUUUGACAUAUGUCCUAUCAGGCUGAGCAACAAGGCGAACUUGGAGUACGCCGUCGAAGCCGCGGCGGACUUCCUGAACAAGGCGGUGAAGCCGGUGAUGGUCGGUGGGCCAAAGAUCCGGGUGGCCAAGGCGAAGAAGGCGUUCGCCGGCAUCGCGGAGUCGAGCGGGUACCCGUUCGCGGUGAUGCCGUCCGCAAAGGGCCUCGUGCCGGAGCACCACCCGCGGUUCAUCGGCACGUACUGGGGCGCCGUGAGCACCACCUUCUGCGCCGAGAUCGUCGAGUCCGCCGACGCCUACCUCUUCGCCGGCCCAAUCUUCAACGACUACAGCUCCGUCGGCUACUCCCUGCUGCUGAAGCGGGAGAAGGCCGUCAUCGUGCAGCCUGACCGCGUGGUGGUCGGCAACGGCCCGGCGUUCGGCUGCAUCCUCAUGACGGAGUUCCUCGACGCGCUCGCCAAGCGCCUCGACCGCAACACGACGGCAUACGACAACUACCGCCGCAUCUUCAUCCCCGACCGCGAGCCGCCCAAUGGCCAGCCCGACGAGCCACUCAGGGUCAACAUCCUCUUCAAGCACAUCAAGGAGAUGCUGUCUGGCGACACCGCCGUCAUCGCCGAGACCGGCGACUCGUGGUUCAACUGCCAGAAGCUCAGGCUCCCCGAGGGCUGCGGGUAAGCGCCACGCACCAUUCAUCUCGUUUCCCGGCAACUAUCCACUCUACACGUCAGCUUCCCAAAAGUCAAUAACGAAAGGCUGGUCAUUCCCAACAGGUACGAGUUCCAGAUGCAGUACGGCUCAAUCGGUUGGUCCGUCGGCGCCACGCUCGGAUACGCCCAGGCGGCCAAGGACAAGCGCGUCAUCUCCUGCAUCGGCGACGGAAGCUUCCAGGUGCGUCCUCUGCUCAUCUGCUGCUGCUGCUAUCUCCUCUGUUUCUCGCCAAUGGCGGCGGCUGUGCUAAUGUGCGUGUGCACGAUAUACAGAUGACGGCGCAGGACGUGUCGACGAUGCUGCGGUGCGGGCAGAAGAGCAUCAUCUUCCUCAUCAACAACGGCGGGUACACCAUCGAGGUGGAGAUCCACGACGGGCCGUACAACGUCAUCAAGAACUGGGACUACACCGGCCUCAUCGACGCCAUCCACAACUCUGACGGCAACUGCUGGACAAAGAAGGUUAAUUUCAAACACCACUCCACUACCACUACUACUCUACUAGUAGUACUAUAAAUACGGCUAAGUGCCAUUCGACUGGUCGAUCGUGACAGCUAAAAACUUCUUCCCCGCUCUUUUUCUACAGGUCCGGACUGAGGAGGAGCUGAUAGAGGCGAUCGCGACGGCGACGGGCGCCAAGAAAGACUGCCUCUGCUUCAUCGAGAUCAUCGUGCACAAAGAUGACACGAGCAAAGAGCUUCUCGAGUGGGGAUCCAGGGUCUCGGCUGCCAACAGCAGGCCGCCUAAUCCCCAGUGAUCUUGCUGCUCGUCUUCUCAGGACGCACACUCGAAAUUGCUGGGCUGCCAAUGUCUAAGAUGUGCUGCUUAUCAUCGUCUGUGAAUUAAUUGUUUAACGCUUCUGUUUCUGUAUCCAUUCAAAAUUUUCUUAGAGAAGAGGUUGAAUUAGUACAUGUCGAUGGGUGUUACCUAUCCUAUGAUAAUGUAUGUAAUUCAAAUGCUUGGAAUUAAUGUUUUGUAAACCUACACUAUAUUGCGAUGCAAUAACAUGGACGAUUUGAAGGAGAAGAGAUCACAUAGUUAUGACCUGCUUGGAAGCCUAGUGUUCGGGCCAAUGCACACAUGUAAAUUGCACGAUCGUAAUAUCGUACUACCUCUGUGCUAUAAUAUAAGAAACUAGUCCAGAUUCAUAUACUAGGGUGUCUCAUUCUGUACGAGGUUCUUAUAUUCUGAGAUGGAGGGAGUAAUACUUUUUCACGUUGGGCUCAAUUUCGCAUUUAGAUGGGCCGUAACAUACAAAUUUUAUGCCGGUUUCUGGCCCAAUCCGUCGGAAAACAAGAGUCGCUGCGCUUCCACGGCCUCAACCUCUCACAUCUCGAGCGUGUGUGCGUCGGUAGGAGCGCCACCGACACCAGUGCCACCGCCGCCGCAGUUCUCGAAUCCCCACCGGCCACCGCCACUAUCCUACUACCGUUUAGUCCGAUCUCAACCGCCGGUUCACCUCCAUCUACUCAGCUCCUAGCUGCGACCGCUAGAAUCGAUCCGCGGUGGUGGUACCACCGCGGUUGUGGCGCCCCUCGAUCCGUGCCACCACCAGAAGGAUGCCUCGAUUAGCAUUGACACUAGGGAGGUCUUCGUCUGCUCCUCCGCCUUGUGCCACCGCAGGCAGGCCUCCAACUAGCCCGGAUCCGUGUUCACCAUUAGCACCAAUCCCAGUCGGAGCCUCUCUCCACUGCACGAGCUUUCAUUCCCACUAGUGAGAUGAAAAUAAAGUUGAUACGACCGGAUAAUACUCACAUCAUAUUUGUCUUCAUAUUGUUUUUGUCGGAUAAGAAAACGAAUACGAAUAGCUUAGUUACGAAAACAAAUACGAAUUAUCUUAAAUAUGAAUAAGAAUCGAAUAUAAUCAGACAUAAAUACGAAAAUAUUAUUUCCUCGGAACACAUAAACCACUUAAACUUCUAAUAUAUAUAUAACCAAUGGAGACGACGCAACGGUGAGACCGAGAAGGUGAGGGAUUGAGUCGCAAAGGUGUAGACUGCCUCUCUUCCUAGUUUCCAGAGCCACACCUCGACAAGCUUCUCUACCUCUGUCUCUACCUCAAUCUCCAGCACCGCAUGUCGAGAUGAGGUCACCUGAAUCCUUGUGCCUCAAUUGGCUUGGUUUUAAUAGAUAACGGAGUUCAUAUAUAUGGUUUUAUGAUUGAGUGACGGGUGGGGAGAGAAGGAGGAGGGGCGGAUGCGAACGACACCAGUGGGGAUUGGUGGCCGUGGCGCGACGGAGGGGUCCGCGAAGUCAUCGGGCACAACGGACAAGCAUGUUCCCUCGUGGGCACGCCUAGGCUCCGACGAGCAGCCGCCCUAGACACGCGAGGCACGACGAUUGGGCCAACAAAAGCCUGGCGCCGUCUAGCUCCCCUUCUAUGCCUACGUGCUCUCCUCCGUCAUUACCAUCAUACGCCUCUCUACCUCCUUCAACUCCUCUAUUUCUCUCUGAUCCCCAAAUCCUCUAAGAUUCCCAUGGUCAUACUGCCACCAUUGCGUCGCCUCCCUCUCCUGCUCGCUGGUGCUGCUUCCCGUCGACGGCGAUGACACCCAUGGCAUCAACGGAGGGGAUAGAGAGAUAAGAGAGAUGUGAGAGUUGAUAGAGAGAUAAGAGAGAUGUGAGAGUUGAUAUAUGGGUUCAGGGGUAAUUUUAACAUUUCACAUGAUUUAUCUCAUCUUAAAAAAAUAUUUUAAUGGGUGCAGUGUCCGCUGGUAAAUUACCACAUUUAUUAAGUGUUUUCAUCAAUAGUCAUUUCGUGCGGUGUCUUACAGCUAAAACUGCAGAGUCACCAUGUUUUAUAGCAAAAUUUAUUUUUUGAAAAGAUAGACACGCGCACUGAUGGCCAAUGGCCCAACAGCGAGAAGAAUACUGUUUGCAAACUUUUGGCUCAUUUCCCUUUCAGUCCUACUUGCAGAUCAAAUUAUUCAUCACUAUUAGAAUCUUUCAUCAAAGCCUCAAGAAUAUCCCGUUAUACUCUCUCCGUACUCGUAAAGAAAGUUGUUUUGAACAGCGACACAGUCUCCAAAACACAAUUUUGACUUCUCGUUUCUAUAAAAAUACUUAUUGAAAAGUGAUAUAUGUAUACUUUUAUAAAAGUAUUUUUCAAGACAAAUCAAUUCAUAUAAUUUUUAUACUUACAAACUCAACAAAUUAAUAGUUAUUUAUGAUUUAUGUACUUAAUGUUUGACUUAAAUAUUAUCUUAAAUGACUUUCUUUCUUUACUAUUAAGUGAUAUAUGUAUACUUUUAUAAAAAUAUUUUUCAAGACAAAUCAAUUCAUAUAAUUUUUACACUUACAAACUCAACAAAUUAAUAGUUAUUUAUGAUUUAUGUACUUAAUGUUUGACUUAAAUAUUAUCUUAAAUUACUUUCUUUACUAUUACAGAGUACCGAGGAACUAAUAAAAGUGGAAGAACCAACUGAACCCUUGGACUGUUUGUCUACGUUGUGCGUGGAGCGACGACAGCGACGUCCUUCUCACUUUAUCACACUGCGCCGGAUGUCAACUUAAAUUAGUACUGCCGCGACUGAUCACUGAGGUAAACCCGGGGAAUUCCAUCUGAGUUACGGCGUAAUCCCGAAUGAGAAACUGAGAAUUCAGGCCGGUACGCACGCAUGCGCUUAACGCUGCAAAAGUACCAAGCACGUACGUAACGUGCGCACCGCGCGAGGAAACAUGGGGCCAAAGACGGUGGGAAAACAGCUGCCAGGCACGUAAAAGGCAAGUACGCCACGCUGCACAUCGCUGUUACACGGAGAGAACCCGAGGCAGUAGGUGAGCCGAGCGCCCGAGCCGCGGGCUGCGCGCGCCGGCAGAUCUGACCCUUGGGGGAGCAGACGAGCAGAGAUAGCUACAGUAGCCAGUAGGAGCGUAGCCGGCGACGGCGCCGCGCGCAGGUGCACUGCACACGGUUGCGCUAGCGCGGGCGGGCGCGCGGUGGGUGGAAACCAGGGGAGCAUGCAGAGACGAGCCAGGGGGAGGGGAUGCAACAGUGCAAGUAGUCCGGGCCGGCCGGCUGGUCGGCUCGGCUCGACUGAAAUCACACUGUGGUAGUCUAGACCGCGGGCCCCAUGGGGUAAACCCCUAUUUAGAUGUUUACCCCUAUUUAGAUGCUUAGAGAAAGUUUAAUGGUAUAGUCCACUACUAGCUCCAAUUCAUCUAUAGUCAAUCUAAUAGCCAAUUCAUACAAUAGUUGCUUAAUAUACUAUUAAUACCUGGUCCCACCUAUCAUAUUCACAUUACGUCUUGAAGUCCGUGCUGCAGCUAGUUUACCCCGCUACUUUUCUCUCUCUUCCUUUAUCUCUUUAAAAUAUGCUUAUAGUUGCUUAUAGCCUGCUAUCCUACAUGCUCUUAGCAUAUGGAUUCUUCAAUUACUAGCUCGAAAAUGAAUUGGAGUGUAUACACGUCGUGUAGCGGUGUAGGAUGCUUGAAUUGCUUGUUAAAUAAAAAAAAACCGGUGCCUUUUUCCUAGUAGAUCAAUAACACCUGUUAUCUGCUCGGUUAAAAAUGAAAUCUUUAUAUAGAGUAGUAUAUCAUUGCCCAAAAAGGUAUUUGCAUACGUAUAUACCAGUCUAGUAGUGUCAUAAGACCAAGUUAGAUUGGCGUUGGCCUUAAGUCCCACUAAUAAAAUGCCAAAUUUACUUCACAUCGACAACAGGGAGUUUAAAUUUGCUUUGCUUAUUUAGCUUGAUAGUAGUAUGUCCACAUCGCAUAUCCUCUCAAUACGAUUUGUUAAUGAAAAGAUGGACGAUGAUUCGAUGAAUGCAUCGUACUAGACUGGAGUUUCCAGACAGGUUGACGGUAUACACAAAUCACAAAUGCAGGACGCACAAGGUUUGCCUUGGCCAAACCACGGCAACGGAGCACGCGAAACAAACAAGCUAAUCAGGCGAUUACCACCCAUCCUGCCAUCCACCAGACCACAAUUCUGCACGCUGCAACGGCAAAAAUGGUUUUUUCUCCCUCUUGUAUAUAAGCCCCAUAAUGUUCACCACUCGCUUGUCAAUUUCAGCUAAGCAGAAAUCAACACAAGUCCAAGUCAAGUCAAGCGUUCUCACUAAAUCAAACCCCCUCACUGCCACCUUCGUUUGCGCGCCAUGGAGCUUGCCCUGGUUGGCGACCCUUCGAAUGGCGUGGCGAAGCCGUCGUGCGACUCCGUCGGCUCGCUGCCCGCCGUCAGCUCCAAGGCCGUCAUCCACCCGCCGGUGACCAGCGCGGCGGGCGCCACGCUCGGCAGGCACCUCGCGAGGCGCCUCGUGCAGAUCGGCGCCACCGACGUGUUCGCCGUCCCCGGGGACUUCAACCUCACCCUGCUCGACUACCUCAUCGCCGAGCCCGGGCUCAAGCUCAUCGGCUGCUGCAACGAGCUCAACGCCGGGUACGCGGCCGACGGCUACGCCCGCGCCCGCGGCGUCGGCGCGUGCGCCGUCACGUUCACCGUCGGUGGCCUCAGCGUGCUCAACGCCAUCGCCGGCGCCUACAGCGAGAACCUCCCCGUGAUCUGCAUCGUCGGCGGGCCCAACUCCAACGACUACGGCACCAACCGCAUCCUGCACCACACCAUCGGCCUCCCGGACUUCUCACAGGAGCUCCGCUGCUUCCAGACCAUCACCUGCUACCAGGUCCGCGCAAUGAGCCCUGCCCUCGUCUUUCUUUUGCACUGAGUGUCUUGCUGCAUUUCGUCGAACACCUGAGCUGAACAGAGAGUGCGUUGCACGCAUGCAGGCCGUCAUUAACAACCUCGACGACGCGCACGAGCAGAUCGACACCGCCAUAGCGACGGCACUAAGGGAGAGCAAGCCAGUGUACAUCAGCGUGGGCUGCAACCUGGCGGGCCUCUCUCACCCGACGUUUAGCCGCGAGCCAGUGCCGUUGUUCAUCUCGCCAAGGUAAUACUGAGCUCAAAACGCAUGCAUCUUGUGUUAGAAUCUUUUUUUAUCCAUUAGUUUAUUAAUUUUGGUAUCUGUUCCAUUAGAUUGAGCAACAAGGCGAACUUGGAGCACGCCGUCGAAGCCGCGGCGGACUUCCUGAACAAGGCGGUGAAGCCGGUGAUGGUCGGGGGGCCAAAGAUCCGGGUGGCCAAGGCGAAGAAGGCGUUCGCCGGCAUCGCGGAGUCGAGCGGGUACCCGUUCGCGGUGAUGCCGUCCGCCAAGGGCCUCGUGCCGGAGCACCACCCGCGGUUCAUCGGCACGUACUGGGGCGCCGUGAGCACCACCUUCUGCGCCGAGAUCGUCGAGUCCGCCGACGCCUACCUCUUCGCCGGCCCGAUCUUCAACGACUACAGCUCCGUCGGCUACUCCCUGCUGCUGAAGCGGGAGAAGGCCGUCAUCGUGCAGCCCGACCGCGUGGUGGUCGGCAACGGCCCGGCGUUCGGCUGCAUCCUCAUGACUGAGUUCCUCGACGCGCUCGCCAAACGCCUCGACCGCAACACGACGGCGUACGACAACUACCGCCGCAUCUUCAUCCCCGACCGCGAGCCGCCCAACGGCCAGCCCGACGAGCCACUCAGGGUCAACAUCCUCUUCAAGCACAUCAAGGAGUUGCUGUCCGGCGACACCGCCGUCA